AAUGAACGCUGGCGGCAGGCCUAAAACAUGCAAGUCGAACGCCCUAGCAAUAGGGAGAGGCGCACGGUUGCGUAACAUGUGGGAAUAUGCCUUUUGGUACGGAACAACGUUUGGAAACGAACGCUAAUACCGUAUGGUCCCUUCGGGGUAAAGAUUUAUCGCCAAAAGUUUAGCCCGAACUGGAUUAGCUAGUUGGCGAGGUAAUGGCUCACCAAGGCGACGAUCCAUAGCUGGUCUGAGAGGAUGAGCAGCCACACUGGGACUGAGACACGGCCAAGCCUCCUACGGGAGGCAGCAGUUAGGAAUAUUGGACAAUGGGCGCAAGCCUGAUCCAGCCCUGCCGCGUGAGUGAUGAAGGCCUUCGGGUUGUAAAGCUCUUUAGCCGACGAUUAUAAUGACUGUAGUCGGAGAAUAAGCCCCGGCUAACUUCGUGCCAGCCGCCGCCGUAA
This 449-nucleotide ribosomal RNA is filed under the name uncultured bacterium. RNAcentral describes it as "partial 16S ribosomal RNA". It matches the Rfam family "Bacterial small subunit ribosomal RNA", at positions 29 to 523 of the family's 1533-position model. The record is from RNAcentral.